UCUAUUUAUAGCUCCCACCCCAGCUCAGGAACCCUGGUGUCCAGGCUCAGAGUUUUCCCAGCUGCUCAACACAGUGCAAUAACACACCCCUGCCUGGCUCCUCCUGGGCCCAGAAACAUCCCACCGCCCCCCACAGGCACUGUCUUCCUCACACCCUCCUAGUGCUCACCAUGCCCUUCCCCUCGGUGCCCUCUUUUGCCAGCAUUCCACAAAGGGAAAGCAGCCAGGCACAGUAUGGGAAGAGAUUGGGUCACUUUGCUCCAUAUGGGAAUUUCAUUUCCAAGAAUUUGAAGCCCUGUUCCUGCCUGCCCCGCCCCCAUCGUGGUUGUUAAUCUUCCCCUUGGCGUGGCCGUCACUGCAGAAUGCCAUGGACUGGGGUGGACCGGGAUGGGGGCUGGGGGGGCAGCUCUCACUAGCCUCUGGGAAAGUCCUCAAAGCCCAUGGCCCGGAGCCCCGAGGACAAUGCUGCUGCCUGGGACAUCCGGAGGGUGCUAGGCUGGGGGCACAUUGCUCUUCCUCCCCACACCCCUCCCAGCUGUCCCUGGCACUCAGGGCCCCUGGAGCUGGUGUCCGGAACUGCUUGGUGACUCGGGGAGCAGGAUGCUCUGCUGCUCCUCUCCAAGCUCACAUUGGACCCCCAUCCUCUCAGGUUGGUUCUCCCAGAGCAGUGGAUAUUCUCAGUGGGGAAACUGAGGCUCAGAGGGAUCACACAAUUUGAGCUGAUAAGACCAGAACCAGAACUCAGGUCUCCUGAGUCUAUAUCCAACUUCCCAGAGAAAGAAAGAGAGCCGGUUCCCUCCACUACAGAGUUGCAGGGACAGGGCUGGCUGGUCUUGGGGUGUCCCUGCUGCUCAUUUAAUGAAAGCGCCCAAGAACGGCCGGUCAAAGAGAGGAAGGGAAACCAGAAAAGGCAGACAGAAAAUAAAAAGAAAAAGUUAGACUUUGAACCCAGAGCUGGCCCUUGCAUUUAGGCACGUGGGAGGGGGCCCUAGUGGGAGCCAAAGGUGGCCCAGGAGGCAGCUCGAGCCGUGGGGAUGGGCGGGAGGGUCUCCCCAAGUCCUCCUGGAUGUAACCUCUCCAAAGUUUGGGAAGAAAAUCAAGACUCCUUGGGCCAGGAAGCAGUUACAGAGGGGCAGGCCAGGGACAGUGGGACCUGAGGGACCAGGAGGGCCACCUGGACCCAGCCCAGCAGGCGUGUGAUGCCACCCCUGGGCUUCCAUAACCUGUUUAAGGAGCAGACAUACCACUCCUUUCAUCGCAGCUGAAGGGCUCCAGGCUGAACCUCUGUCUGGGUUUGGCAAGUAGUGUGGGGAGACGUCAAAAGAAGACAACAGAGAGCUUCUAAGAGGUGUGUGGCAGUCAACGGCAUAACAGAUACCAGAUGAUGAAACUAAGGCCAGAGGACAUCAGUGACAGAUCCGGGCUGCACAGCUGGCAAAUCCAGGUCUGCCCAAGGCUAUGCCGUCUGGUGCUGACAUCCGAGCUCCAAAGCUUUUCAGUUAGUUGGGAGUAGAGGAGCUUUAUUUCCUGCAUCUGAGCUCCUGACUGGUAGCCCACCUCAGCCCCUAAUUGUCAGGUUCGUUCUGUCUAGUCCCCUGGCCCCAGAGAUAUUAUCCAGUUUGGGAGCUGGGAUCCUUCAUGCCAAGCACCCAGAGCAUCAGUGCUCUCCUGGAGCGGCCAGUCCUGCUCGCCUUGAUUCCGUCACCUUGUCCUGCCGGCUGUCUGGACCUGCACGCCCUUGUCAUCGUCGCCCGGGGCACCAGCUCCUUCUCAGGAUGAUGGUUUGUGCUACACAGACACAGCACAGCAACGUGGUUAAGAGCUCGUGCUUCGGAGUCAGAACGCCUGGAUAAGAAAUGUCAGGUCUACCACUAAUUGGACAAAUAUUUUAGCUUCUCUGAACUUCAGUUUCCUCAACAGCUCUAACUCACAGAGUUGUUUUGAGAAUUAAAAUGCUCAA
Molecule: long non-coding RNA, 1960 nt
Organism: Microcebus murinus (gray mouse lemur)
Lineage: Eukaryota; Metazoa; Chordata; Mammalia; Primates; Cheirogaleidae
Source: RefSeq, a predicted model, not a curated record